AAUGGUAGUCCUAUAUUUCAUUCCUUAUCACUAUAAUGAGUCCAAAAAUACCACUCUUUUUUUAGCAUACAGCUCCAAAACAUAGCGGAAAGUUUCGAUGCGUUAAUGUUUUUGAAGGAGGUGAACGCUAACAACUUUGACGCGCUCAUCAUGUUCGCGUUUCACGAAGGUACUAAAUAUCUUAUCUGGCCAGUUCAAAUGUCUUUAGAAAGAGGAGAACCUAA
Non-coding RNA from Cinara cedri, 224 nucleotides. Lineage: Eukaryota; Metazoa; Arthropoda; Insecta; Hemiptera; Aphididae. The record is from the annotation of a GenBank genome assembly.